CCAAAGUACGAGAGGGGCGGGGAAGGUCCUGUUCUUCUUCGGGAAGCUAGCAGGCCAGAUCGACAAAGACGAAUAGCUAUAGACCAAAUAGCGUCGUCAAACCUCGACAGCCUAAGCUCAUCGAUCGAAUCGAGAUGUUAGCUCGCUCUUCUUCCUAGCUCCUCUACUCGCCGCCGCCGCCGCCUCCUAGCCGCCGCUGCGUCCCCGUCGUCCUAGACGUCGACGGCGGCCCCAAGUCUAAGGUAGGCUGCCUGCUCCUCGACCACUACGUGAUGGAGACGGCCGCCACGCGGCCGGACGGGUAGAGGCACGGGUAGUAGCGGCUCCAGCUGGAGAUGUUCAAGCUGGGUACCGUCGAGGGCUCUUACCGCGAGAUGCCGCUCUUCCUCACCAUGAAGAAGAGGGGCGCGCUGGCGUUCAUGGGCUUGCCCAGCGCCGGCUUGGCCAGCCGGCCGUGCCCGAUGACCUUCCGGUGGCCGCGGCUGUUCGGCCACCCGUGCGGGUUCGGGGACCGGUAGUUCUUCCGCGAGCAGAAGAUGCGGCCCUUCCGCGGGUUCCCGCUGUUCUGGUUGACCUAGUACGUGCUCAUGGCGGAGCGGCUGCAGCUGGCGAGGCGGGCGUUCUUCUUGUCGGAGUCCAACCUACUGACCCACGAAACGGCCUAGAUGUUGUUCUUUCCGCGGAGCCUCUCCGGCUCGCGGCCACUGGCCUGGCGCUCGCGCUCGGGGCCCGUGCGCCGGCAGCCGAGCGGCGGCCUCGUCUUUGACCGGGACGACGCCGGUAUGCGCGGCGUCGGCAAGAGCCUGGACCGCCGCAUGAUGCUCCACUCCGGCAGCCUGAGCUACGGCGCCCGCGUGCGCCUGAGCUCGACGAGCCUUGUGCACGACUGCCGCAGCACGCUCGCCGGCCUCCACGUCUCGGUCGGGUUCUAGAGGCUCACCCUCGCGUGCAAGCGGUGUCGGUGGGGCCCGCAGUUGGGCCGGCCGAACUACGAGCUGGGCCGCCGGCCCGAGGGGCGGCCGCUGGGCGAGGAGGUCCUGUAGGAGUACAUGACCCCGUUCGGCAAGACUCUUAGGCCGAGGCACCGACAUGCACACCAAACCGCGACCCUACUUUAGCUAGCCCCAUCGAGCCCGCUCGGCGGCCGGCCUUAGAUAGCCGUCCUCUAUGAGUAUCGGCAACCUACCUUCUAUAGUCAUCACGUGUUCCUCAGUGCCUGCCGCCGCUACUCUGCGCCCUCGGGGCCACACAAGCUCCUCCCUGCGUCUCUCAUGAGAACCACAUAUGCCUAAACUUGAUUCGACACAUAUACGCUAACUAAACCUUUAACCCAAAAAACAAAUGUAACGAAAAAAUAUGGAAACAGAACAAACCCUCUACACGUACCAUAGCCAUGGUAACCUUGUCCUUAUACAUAUGAAUAUUAAUAAGAGGGGCACGCUAGAAAAAGGUGCUUAUGUGUUGUCUACACACGUAGAAAAAUA
Molecule: ribosomal RNA, 1484 nt
Filed under: Triticum aestivum (bread wheat)
Lineage: Eukaryota; Viridiplantae; Streptophyta; Magnoliopsida; Poales; Poaceae
Description: partial small subunit ribosomal RNA
Source: RNAcentral